This 345-nucleotide unclassified non-coding RNA is filed under the name soil metagenome. RNAcentral's name for it is "partial contains 5.8S ribosomal RNA, internal transcribed spacer 2, and large subunit ribosomal RNA". The stretch from base 1 to 119 matches the Rfam family "5.8S ribosomal RNA", at positions 35 to 154 of the family's 154-position model. The record is from RNAcentral.
GAUGAAGAACGUAGCGAAAUGCGAUACGUAAUGUGAAUUGCAAAUUCAGUGAAUCAUCGAGUCUUUGAACGCACAUUGCGCCCCCUGGUAUUCCGGGGGGCAUGCCUGUCCGAGCGUCAUUGCUGCCCUCAAGCACGGCUUGUGUGUUGGGCCCCGUCCUCCGAUCCCGGGGGACGGGCCCGAAAGGCAGCGGCGGCACCGCGUCCGGUCCUCGAGCGUAUGGGGCUUUGUCACCCGCUCUGUAGGCCCGGCCGGCGCUUGCCGAUCAACCCAAAUUUUUAUCCAGGUUGACCUCGGAUCAAGUAGGGAUACCCGCUGAACUUAAGCAUAUCAAUAAGCGGAGGA